CCAUGUGAAUCGUGCCAUCCCACGACUCGGCUUAUGGCCUAACAACACACGCACACGACCCGGCCAAACGUGAUCUCUCACGUUAGCCCAUAACUAACUCAUGCAGCACGUUGGAUGUGCCAUGCCAACUACAUGCAAACCUAACACGAAACUAGACAAACUAAACCUCAACGGUGAACGGGCACGUUUCAGGCUACAAGAUGCAAACACAUGCUGACAUGCACAUAAUCAAACUAGCCUAAUUAACCAAUGCAUGGAGCUGAAAACAAAUGCAAGAUCUGACAGACUCUAAAACAAGAUUAGCACUAACAAUCACCUACCUAAUCUUGUUACACAAUUUAUUUCUGCAUACCGAGCACCUUCAUGCUGGCUUGAUGUCAGCGCUGUCUUGAACAGGACCUCUGUUUUCUACUGCUGUCAUGGAAGUUCGAUUAAACACAACUGCCUCUUCUUCAAAUUCAGCACAUAGAGCCGAUUCUUAGUUUUCCGGGCUCUGGCUAUCAGCUUCCCUGAGUGAUCAAACACACUCAGAAACCCAUGUCGUAGAACUGAUUUGCACCCUUCCUCGUUGAGCUGACCAAGACUUAGUAUACUGCUUGUGAGUUUGGAAACAAAAUACACAUCAUUAAGGAGUAUGUGCUGCCCGCUUACUUUGCUUCGGCUGCAGCCAGCUCCCCACGCAGCCUCUCUGCUUCGUCCUUGGCAGCUUCCAACUCCUCCAUGGAUGCACCAAAAAGAGUGAUCUCAGCCUUCUUCUCUUUGGGCUUGACCUUGGCGUGCUCCACCAAUGGCCCGUGCUCACAUGCCAUCGCCAUCAACAGUGCUGGUUCGUCGUCGCCGGCGUCGGCGAGCAGCACCUUUUCUUUCUUCGGCUCCUCGCACUCAGAGGCGAAAUGGCCCUUCUCGCCACACUAGAAGCAAGUGAUCCUCGACUUGUCAAACUUGCCACGACGUUCCUUCUUCUUACCGUCCUGGCCGCGGCCACCGCCACGCCCGUCCUGGUCGUCAUUCUUGUUGCCGCUGCUGGAGCCCACACCCUUCUUCUUCUCUUUAAGGAUCAACUCUUCUAGCUGGGCACGUGAAACAAGCAUUAGCUUCUCGCCUUCAUCGCCACCAUUCUGACGACGACCGCGCUGGUUCUGCUCGAACGCGGUGAGGCGCCCAAUCGCCUCUUGCACCGUCAUCGCGGAGACAUCACCCCACUGCUCAAUGGUGUUGACGAUUUUCCGUGAAACGGUCUGGAACAGCGCUGAAGAGCCGCUCCACCACGGCCUCAUCUUCAAGUGUGACGUCGAGAGAGUGGAUCUCGCUCACCAACGGGAUGAGCUUCUUGGCGAACUCUGGGAUCGUCUCCCGGUCAGCCAUGUCGAGGCGAUCAAACUGCUUCUUCAGUUGUCGUGCAUGCGCCUUCUUCACGCGAUCCUCACCGAGGCGCGCACAACGGAUCAUCUCCCACGCCUCACGCGCGGUGUCGCACUCCGCAACCUGCAGCAUCACGUGAUCCGGAACGGAUUGAGAGAGCGCGGCGAACGCCCCUUCAUCCGCAGCCUGAUCAUACUCACCAGAGCCUUCAAUCGCGGACCAAAUACGCAACGGCUUCAUCAGGACCUUCAUCUUCGCAGCCCACAGCGAGUAGUUGGUGUCCGUCAGCAUCGGAUACUGGACGGGCACACUCAUGGCCCUCGACGGGGUAGCGAGCACGACAGCGCCGCCGUCCGCUGCAGCAGCCUUCCUGGCCGCCGGCGGCAUGUACUUUCCGCCGCCGCUGCUGCUCUUCCCGUCGCUACUCUUCGGAGAUGUAUCCCCCAUCGCCACCGCAGAAACUCCUCCGAUCAGCGUCGCCAAACGCCCAAGAUCCUAAGCCUAAAGCUCUGUAUACCAAUUGUUAGAUCAGAGGGAGGAAACACACGGGAUCACGGUAGCGGCGAGAGACGCACAGAGCGGAACGACACAAGGAAGAAGAUGAUUUUGUGCCGCGUGACUUCCUUGGCUUCUUUCUCUUUCCUUUUAUUCCGUUACUGAGAUUAAGAUCCUAUAGUUACACCACAACCCAUGUGAAUCGUGCCAUCCCACGACUCGGCUUAUGGCCUAACAACACACGCACACGACACGGCCAAAUGUGAUCUCUCACGUUAGCCCAUAUAACUAACUCAUGCAGCACGUUGGAUGUGCCAUGCCAACUACAUGCAAACCUAACACGAAACUAGACAAACUAAACCUCAACGUGAACGGGCACGUUUCAGGCUACAAGAUG
This 2254-nucleotide long non-coding RNA is filed under the name Triticum aestivum (bread wheat). RNAcentral describes it as "long non-coding RNA (TAES_LNC016953)". The record is from RNAcentral. Lineage: Eukaryota; Viridiplantae; Streptophyta; Magnoliopsida; Poales; Poaceae.